UGGGGAAUAUUGCACAAUGGGCGCAAGCCUAAUGCAGCCAUGCCGCGUGUGUGAAGAAGGCCUUCGGGUUGUAAAGCACUUUCAGCGAGGAGGAAGGUGGUGAACUUAAUACGUUCAUCAAUUGACGUUACUCGCAGAAGAAGCACCGGCUAACUCCGUGCCAGCAGCCGCGGUAAUACGGAGGGUGCAAGCGUUAAUCGGAAUUACUGGGCGUAAAGCGCACGCAGGCGGUUUGUUAAGUCAGAUGUGAAAUCCCCGGGCUCAACCUGGGAACUGCAUUUGAAACUGGCAAGCUAGAGUCUCGUAGAGGGGGGUAGAAUUCCAGGUGUAGCGGUGAAAUGCGUAGAGAUCUGGAGGAAUACCGGUGGCGAAGGCGGCCCCCUGGACGAAGACUGACGCUCAGGUGCGAAAGCGUGGGGAGCAAACAGGAUUAGAUACCCCUGGUAGUCCACGCUGUAAACGAUGUCGAUUUUGGAGGUUGUGCCCUUGAGGCGUGGCUUCCGGAGCUAACGCGUUAAAUCGACCGCCUGGGGAGUACGGCCGCAAGGUUAAAACUC
RNAcentral lists this ribosomal RNA (557 nucleotides) under uncultured bacterium. Its description in RNAcentral is "partial 16S ribosomal RNA". It matches the Rfam family "Bacterial small subunit ribosomal RNA", at positions 355 to 902 of the family's 1533-position model. The record is from RNAcentral.